This 415-nucleotide ribosomal RNA is filed under the name uncultured beta proteobacterium. RNAcentral describes it as "bacterial SSU rRNA". It matches the Rfam family "Bacterial small subunit ribosomal RNA", at positions 9 to 428 of the family's 1533-position model. Lineage: Bacteria; Pseudomonadati; Pseudomonadota; Betaproteobacteria. The record is from RNAcentral.
GAGUUUGAUCUUGGCUCAGAUUGAACGCUGGCGGAAUGCUUUACACAUGCAAGUCGAGCGGCAGCGCGGGGCAACCUGGCGGCGAGCGGCGAACGGGUGAGUAAUGCAUCGGAACAUGUCCAUGUCGUGGGGGAUAGCCCGGCGAAAGCCGGAUUAAUACCGCAUACGCCCGAGAGGGGAAAGUGGGGGACCGCAAGGCCUCACGCGAUUGGGUUGGCCGAUGUCCGAUUAGCUAGUUGGCGGGGUAAGAGCCCACCAAGGCGAUGAUCGGUAGCUGGUCUGAGAGGAUGAUCAGCCACACUGGGACUGAGACACGGCCCAGACUCCUACGGGAGGCAGCAGUGGGGAAUUUUGGACAAUGGGGGCAACCCUGAUCCAGCCAUUCCGCGUGAGUGAAGAAGGCCUUCGGUUGUAA